UACAGAGGGUGCAAACGUUGCUCGGAAUUAUUGGGCGUAAAGCGCGUGUAGGCGGCUUGUUAAGUCGGUUGUGAAAACCCAUGGCUCAACCAUGGAAGUGCGUCCGAAACUGGCAAGCUAGAGGAUGAUAGAGGUAAGUGGAACUCCGAGUGUAGAGGUGAAAUUCGUAGAUAUUCGGAAGAACACCAGUGGCGAAGGCGACUUACUGGAUCAUUACUGACGCUGAGGCUCGAAAGCGUGGGGAGCAAACAGG
RNAcentral lists this ribosomal RNA (253 nucleotides) under uncultured bacterium. RNAcentral describes it as "partial 16S ribosomal RNA". It matches the Rfam family "Bacterial small subunit ribosomal RNA", at positions 524 to 776 of the family's 1533-position model. The record is from RNAcentral.